UCUCUCUCUCUCUCUCUCUCUCUCUCUCUCUCUCUCUCUCUCUCUCUCUCUCUGCCUCUCUCUCUUUCUCUAAACUAUAUGCACUAACAUAUAUCAAAUCUCUCAGAAUGUUCGUGGAGGUUGUGGAAUCGUAGUCUUACUUCUUAUUCUUGGAACUAAGGUGGGGAUAAACUAAACCCAGCAAGGAUUGAGGUUUGUUUUAGGCAGUUGAGGUAAGAUUUCAUCUCCUUCUACAUGCAAUUGGGUAAAAAUGGCUAGCAUGUGAGCAUAAGGUUGGGAAUUCAUGAAAUUAUGACUAGGUUUUGAUAAGUGGCAUUGUAGCUUGAUAAUUGUGUUUAAAAGGGGUUGCAUAGGCAUUGUAGCUGUAGUUUGACAUUGGGACUAUGAUUAUCUUGAAAUUAUUAUCGAUAAGAACCGGAAAAAAUAAAAGAAUAACCUUAUCAGACUAUAAGCCGAGGUUGACAUUCGAUGUAAUAUAUUGUUGGUUGGAAAUUGAUGUAUAUGAACUAUACUUAGGUUGGAUUGUUCAUAUUUUGAUCACUAUGGAUAUGGAAAAUGUAUGAAAUACAAUGGAAAUGCUGCCCGAAUUAUCGUAGAGAUUACCCGUUGCUUAGAUACGUAAAAUUAGGGUUGGCAAAUUUUGGUAGAAGCAUUAUUCUAUGAAUUUAGGUUGAUAUUGAAGCAUAAAGAGGCAGUUGUUGAGGCAAUAAAGCGGAGAAACAUAAAGGUAUGUUAAGGCUUCUUCAUCUUCUCUCUUUUCUAGCAUGAUCCCAACAAUACGCGUAUGAAAACGAUUGUCCUAAAAGAAGUGACUCUAUUCUAAGUUCUGAAGAUGUUCAUGCCCUUUCCUCCAUGUCAUGUUUAGAAAGUUGAUAGGUUUUCCAUCUUGAUGUCAUGAAUUAUUCCUAAGAUCAUGAAAGGAUUAUGGGAAGUAUAUGAUUGUAUAUUCUUGUUUAGGCCAAGUCUUAUGUUGAUGAUUUUAGUAUUGUAACAUAUUUUAUGACCUUACAUCACUCCAGAUCUACUCUAUAUUGUUAAUCCAUGUGUCUCAUGCAUCGUGUAACAACUUUCUUAUCGCAUCGUGCUAUAAUCAUCCGGGCAGGCACUUAUAUGUGCAUGCCACUGAUCAGUUGGUCAAAUAUUACCACGUCCUAUAUGGCCGAGCAGCUUAUUAUGAGUUUACCCCACAAAAGAAAUUGAUAUGAUACUAUAUGGCCCUAUAGAGCGGUCCGAUCUUACCUACAUGCAUGUAUUCAUGGUUAUGUCAGUUGUGUACCCUCAGCGGCCUUUUCUGAGUUACAGGUUAAUUUGGUUACAUCUUCCUUUGGUUUUACAACACUUAUUUACAUGUUUUACCUACCUUACAUAUUCAGUACAUCUUUCGUACUGAUGUCCCUUCUGGGGUGCUGUGUUUGGCACUUGUCAACUGUUGAUAUACUUGUGAUGGCCUCAUCGGCCUUAGCUUAUAUAUAUAUGUUGUGUUGGGCCUUUUCUCAUUGCAGGCUGUUGUUUUUUUCUACCUUAUCCUUGUCUUUGGGAGGCGUUGUUGGCCUAAGUUUCAUAUUGUGGUAUUCAUGUAUUGUAGUUGGUUCACUCGGAGCUUGGGGUGCCGAGUAUCGGCCUCACCCCCAAGGUAUGGGUGCGAUAUUUCUAAACUCAUUCGAGGAUGAACAUUUGCUUAAGAGGGGGAGAAUGUAAUGACCCAGCCAGUCAUUUUGUGUAUCCAAGAACGUAAGCACGUUCCCAUAUUUGAUGUUUUCCUUAUGCGUCUUUAUGGUUUUUUGACUCGGGGCGGGGGGGAUGGUUGGUUGGCUUCGAGAAUGCUUAAGAGUGAAGUGAGACACUUAGUCUCAUUUUGGAAGCUUAAGUUGCAAGAGCCGAUCUAGGUUUGACUUUUGAGUAAAAUACCUCGAAUUUGUAUUUUGAUGGUUCCAAUAGGUUUGAAUAGUUAUUUUGGAUUUAGGUGAAUGUUCACAAUUGGAUUUGGAGGUUCCUAUGAUGUUUUGGCACUAUUUGCCGGAAGUAGCCAAUUUAAAAGUUUGGAGAGUUCAUAGGUUUGAUCGGGGGCUAAUUUUAGUGAUUUCAGAGUUAGAUUUAUGUUCAAGAACUUGGAAUAGGAUCUUUAUGUAAUUUGGAAAUUUUAUACAAAGUUUGGUUGGAAUCCGGAUUGGUUAGGGUUAAAUAUGGUAUUUGGUUGCAAGUUGGAAAUUCUUGAACUUAAGAGAUUGAUUUGAUUGUCGUCCUUGGUUUUAAUAUUAUUCAUUGUGUUUUGAGCAUCUUGAUAAGUUUAAAUAAGGUAUUGGGACUUGUGGAAUGUUCGGACGGAGUCUCGAGGGCCUCAGGAGUGUUUUGCAUUCAUUCCAAGCUAGGAUGGUGUGUUAUGGCAUUGCUGGUUUUUGGCUGAGUUCUUGUGCACCGCACCUGCAGCCAUGUAGGUCACACCUACGAAGCCGCAUAUAUGGGAUUUUAUCCGCAGUAGCAUAAAUAGGAAGAGGCCAAGUAGAUCGCAUAUGUGAUGGAUAUGCACAGAUGCGGUGUUCGCAGGUGCGAGGGAAGUGCGCAGAAGCUCAUCCGAUGAUAUGAAAGGGGGGUUACAGAUGCAUGGGGUCGGCAAAAUAAGUGAUUUGCGCAUCUGCGAAGGUGUUUAUUGCAUAUGUGAUUGUCGCGCCAUGUUUUCUUGCGAAAUCGGGUUUCAACAUCGACAACUCUUUUAAGAAAGGGAAGGAAUGGUUAUUAAAAGAGAGUCGCCACCUAACGGAUUAAGGUGCAUUGGGGCACCUAUUACAAAUGACUCAGGUUUAGUAGUUGUGUCACCAAAUAUCGGGUAAGGGCUCAAAUUACCUCGAGGAGAAGGUGUUAGGCACUCCUCGAGGUCUACAACGGUGGGUCCCGGUCGAACUCAAAUCACGUGAAUUAGUCUAAUAGAGAAAAGAUGGAAUUAUUAAUAGAAAUAGGGGGUCCUAUGUUUUUAGCCUAAAGGAUCACCUCGUGCAACAUAAAUAAUACUUCGUAAUUCCCCCAAGACGGGGGUGUUACUCAUAUUAUUCAGCGGGAACAAACUAUCAUCUCCUGCUACCUGAUUACUAUCUUUAAGUUAUUUACCUAAAAGCACUCUAAUCAAUUCUAAAUCACGCCCUAUGCUUGCACUACCCAUCCCUUACCUAUGGUCCCGGAGGCAUUUGGACCUCUAUUUUGGAUGGUUCUAGACUUAACUUAGGUUUCUCAAAAAAUGGUAAAACUAAGCGACAUACAAAAACAAGUUGGACUUUCAAAUAAAAGCAACUAGGGGCUCAGAUUAGCCUCCACAUAUAGGGAGCAAAUGCACGCAAACAGAUUAGGCGUAUUGACAGUUUCAACAGUUAAGGUUGUUAGGUCCUAUAGGCAUGAUCUCUAGGUGAUUCUGAAUUCUAAUCAUAUUGGCAGUUGUGUAAAGUAAUUUCUAAGUGACUGCGUAGUUGCCUACUGAUUAUAAUUAGAAGCAGUUAAACCUAUUGACAUAUUAUCUAGGCGAAUUAUUCAGCGGUUGACAGUGAUAACGACAAAGGAUAUUCAAAAUUACUCAGUUGUUCCUAUAGGCAUGCUUUCUAGUGACAUUCAGCAAGACAGUACAUGAAGUUUCAGUUUUAGUAAUAAUGCAUAGGCUAUGGACAUGAGUUCUAACUUUGAUGAUUGAAACUACUAUUAGUUCUUAUAGACAUGCAUACUAACUGAGCAAGUGUGACAGUCGAUUAAACCUACAGGCAUGAUUUCUAAAGAGGCAGAUUUGAAUAUGCUGUAAUGAAAGUUGAACCUUAGUUAUUUUAUUUCCUAUAGGCAUGAUGUCUAAUCAUGUAAAGAAAAGUAGGUAGGAUAUUCACAGAACUUAUUUGAGCCAAAGCAAAUCCCUAUAGGCAGGUUAUCUACAGAGUAUAUUUGAGUCAAAGUAAACCCCUAUAAGCAGGCUAUCUAACACGUAAUAACAGACAGAGUAAAUAUCUAGGCAAGGUUUUUAACAUAUAAUAGCAGAAUAUUUUGAAUAAAGUAAAGCAUAUAGGAAGGUUAUCUAACAUACAAUAGCGCAAAGUAAACACCUAUAGGCAUGUUACCCAUUUUAUAAAAUAUCAAAAAUAAGCCCAUUUCCCAAUUUAUUGUUGCCCCAACUGUUAUUACAAAUAAUUAUUACAGACCGGAAUCAAAUGAAUGAAUUACAAGGUAUAUAACUAUAGGAAGCCUGUAGCAGAACCAAAUACGACCGGACAGGCCAGACCUUCAACUCACAAUAACUCCAAAAGCCCAUGUUCAUUGAUACAUAGUGACCAGCAGUGAAUGAAUCACCUCUAUCUCAAGGAUAAGUAUACCAAGCUCAAAUCUCUAGUGUGUCAGAGUUCCCAAGGUCUUUAAGAACCCCAAGCAGUGCUCGCACUAGAGAGGAAUGAUCAGAAUAAUUGAAGGAAAAUUAUGGACCAAAUCCUGGUGUGUCAGAGUUCAUGAGGGUCUCAUAUAAACCCAGAGCAGUGCUCACACUAGAAAAGCCUGGGGCUUUAGCUUUCAGCCAACAAAGAGUGAGAAUUCAAGAGAGAAGGAUAGGAUUGGACAGUGCAUGUAGGGACAAAAUCACAAAUAGAACAAACAUAUUUGAAACUAAGCAGACUUGAUAAAGUUUUGAAAGUCAACAAAGUCACAUACUAAUAAGGAUCAGUUCAUGCUUCACAAAGAAGACAAAGAUUUCAUAUCAGGCUAAGUCAAAGAAGGGGAGCUAAUAAGUCAGGAAAACAUUAAUUAGCAGUAACAAUUUAACAAAGGUAUCCUAACAUGGUGCGCACAAAAACAGACAAGUAACAUGGCAACAGGUUUAACAAUAAGCUAAUGAGUCUACUAAGACAUACAUAAUUAACUAGCUCUUAAGGAAAGGUAUCAAAACAUGCUUAAUGCUAAAAGAUAAUCCUAAGUUAUACAGAGUUAAGCAUAUUCCAUUAAUUAGUUCACUGAGUUCAACAUGUCUUGAAUACAGAAAAUAACAAGUCUAAUAAAAGUAACAUAUUAAACGAGUAAUAAAGUAACAAAGGAUUAAAUGACUUACCGAUUCAGAUGAAACUGAAAAGAAUCUAGCAAUGUAACAAUGGUCACCAACAGAAGCAAACAAUAGAGGAUUUCUAGCCUUGGCUUGCCGGCCAGGAAUCAAAACACAGAAUAAUAACAGUGUAUAGUUUAUGGUAGUGAGAAUAUUUCGAACUCUGAGUCUAAAGGGGAAUGGGGGAGGACUUUAAAUAGAACUAAAUUAGAGCACACAAAUAUGGCAAUAAUUAGUCAAAGUACUAGAAAGGAAAGUACCUAACAGUUAGUUAGGAAAGAAAAACUCGAAACCCUAGUUUAGGUAAAACAUACAAAAUCGGCAGAAAUAACAAGUAAAGAGAUGUAUAUAGACAAAGACUUUAACAUAAUAAUCAAAAAAUCGAACGGAUUUGAUUUGAUUUCGAAAACCCAUAAAUUUUGGAUAAGUAAAAAUUAGUCAGAAAUUAACAAAGAGAGUUAUAAUAGGAUGCACAGAGACAGAUAGACGGAAACAUUAAAGGAAAAAUAAUUAAAGAAUCGAGAACCAGAUUAGAUCUAGAAAGAUCUAAACUCUAGUUUAAGGGUAAGUAGAAAAUCGCGAAGAAUCUCAGAGAUUUAUAUCAUAAAGAAACGAGAACGAACACAGAUGGAAAGAGGUUAAAGAUUUGAAUCGGAUUUGGUUUAAAAUUAAAGAGAUUUGCUUGCCCUGUUAGGAAAGCAAUUAUGUAACACCAUAAGCGAGUAACCAGGAGUGAGAGGGGGUCAACAAGGUAAGGAAUCAUUGAUUGAUUCAAUUUUGGGUUGGAAUCAGAGAGGCUAAUAGGUGACGGCGCUAGGGUUUCCAUAGAAGAGAAGAAGAAGGGAGAGCAUUUAGUGGCUGCGGGGUUUAGGGAAUGAGGGGAUUAGGGUUGGCAUAGUUAAUUUAAAAUGGGAGAAUAAAUGAGGGCCAUUGAUCUUGAAAGAUCAUCGGCCAGGACUUAAGGGAGAUUGGGUCGGGUUUAAAAACGAGUAGGAGGACUGGGCUAGUGGGGUUUUGGGCUAAGGUAUUGGGCUAGGUAUUAGGUAAUUGGGCUGGGGGGUUGGUCUGAAAGUAGGCUAAAAAAUGGGCUAUUAUUUAAAUACCCAAAUUUAAUUAAUAAAUAGUUUGUAAAAUUAAUAAAUAAAUAAAUGAAAAUAUCAUUUGUGCAUAAAAAUAAAUAAAAUAGUUAUAUAACAUUAUAAAAGUAUAAAAAGAUUAUUUUGGCAUAAAUAAAAUAAUUAUAAGUACAUAUAGGCUAUUAUUGCAAAUGUCUAAUUUUAGCCUUGAAAAUACAAAUGUAAUUAUGACAAAUAUGUUAAAAAUAUUUAAAACCUAAUAUGGGUAUAAAUGGUGAAAUUAAAUGAUAAAAGCAUUGUAGAAUAAUUUGUAAGGUAAUUAAUGAUAUUUAUAUAAUAAAAAUACAGGAAUAAAUUGAUUUAAAAUCUUUUACAAAUUAUAGAAAAUUAUGAAAAAUACUUGUAUAUGUUUAUAAAUCAAAUGAUGGUACAUAUGUACUAUUUUGAAAGUAUAUAUAUAUAUUUAAAAAAAUAUGAGGGAAAAAUUAGGUAUCAACAGCGAUUUCGCAUAAGCGACUUUAUUGUCCGCAGAUGCGAAAAUCACUGGGCAAGGGGUGUAUUUGAGGGUUUGAGUUAUUUUCACUAGUUUGAAUAUUGGAGCUCGGCUAAAUGCAAUUUUUGGGGAGGAUUGCAUUACCACUUUGAGGAUAAGUGAUUUCUACUGGAUUUGUUGAUAUAUCUAUCUUUCCUAUUUUUACACAUAUACUAUGAUAUUUGUAAGAGAAAUUUUGGGAGGUUUUACUACAAUUUUUGAGAUUUGGACUCGAUUUUGAAAUCUAAUCGCAUAUUUAAACUUGUGAGUUAUGGGUAGUCGGGAUCUACCCCUUGACUCAGGUUUUGACCGUGUGGGUCAGCUUGACUUUUGGGAAUUUAAUUAGAGAUUCGAACUUUAUUGUCUGGAAUUGAUUCCUAUGCCAUUGUAUGAUGUUAUUGAGUUUCAUUUGACUAGAUUUGACCUGUUCGGAGGUUGAUUUGAGAGGGAAAGCUAUUUUGGAAGGUUGAAGGCUACCAGGUGGAGGUAAAUCUCUUGGCUAAUCUUGUUAAGAGGGAAACCCCUAGGAUUUAACUUUACUGCUAUGUGUUUAAUGUAUUAGAGGUGGUAUAUAUAUGUGGUGGCGACGUAUAUGUACUUACCAUAUUUACAUCAUGACCGGGGUAGAAUUAGGAUACUUUGUGCCUUUUUUAGCUAUAUGCUCAUUUGAUUCAUGAUUUAUUUGACUUAUAUGAUUACGUUUACUCUCUUAUUCAUGUUAAAGAUUAUGCCUAGAUUUAUGGUUAUUUAUGAAGGCAUGAGAACUUAUUCUUGCUUUUUUGAAUUGCUUGAAUUAUCCGUAGUCAUAUAAAGUUCCAGGAG
Molecule: long non-coding RNA, 7480 nt
Filed under: Nicotiana tabacum (common tobacco)
Lineage: Eukaryota; Viridiplantae; Streptophyta; Magnoliopsida; Solanales; Solanaceae
Description: long non-coding RNA (NTAB_LNC018011)
Source: RNAcentral